This 67-nucleotide transfer RNA is filed under the name Apicotermitinae gen. A sp. TB-2017. RNAcentral's name for it is "tRNA-Trp". Lineage: Eukaryota; Metazoa; Arthropoda; Insecta; Blattodea; Termitidae. The record is from RNAcentral.
AAGGCCUUAAGUUAAAUUAAACUAAUAACCUUCAAAGCUAUAAAUAAAGGACGCCCUUUAGGCCUUG